This 468-nucleotide ribosomal RNA is filed under the name uncultured bacterium. RNAcentral's name for it is "partial 16S ribosomal RNA". It matches the Rfam family "Bacterial small subunit ribosomal RNA", at positions 28 to 507 of the family's 1533-position model. The record is from RNAcentral.
GACGAACGCUGGCGGCGUGCUUAACACAUGCAAGUCGAACGGAAAGGCCCUGCUUUUGUGGGGUGCUCGAGUGGCGAACGGGUGAGUAACACGUGAGUAACCUGCCCUUGACUUUGGGAUAACUUCAGGAAACUGGGGCUAAUACCGGAUAGGAGCUCCUGCUGCAUGGUGGGGGUUGGAAAGUUUCGGCGGUUGGGGAUGGACUCGCGGCUUAUCAGCUUGUUGGUGGGGUAGUGGCUUACCAAGGCUUUGACGGGUAGCCGGCCUGAGAGGGUGACCGGCCACAUUGGGACUGAGAUACGGCCCAGACUCCUACGGGAGGCAGCAGUGGGGAAGAUUGCACAAGGGGCGGAAGCCUGAUGCAGCAACGCCGCGUGCGGGAUGACGGCCUUCGGGUUGUAAACCGCAGUCGCCUGUGACGAAGCGUGAGUGACGGUAAUGGGUAAAGAAGCACCGGCUAACUACGUG